UGAUAAUGGUGCAAGAAAUCAAGAAGCAUGGACUUGAACCUCUCCCAGGCUUGAUAUAGAUUUUCACCAUCCUUCUAUCUAAAGCUCAAGAACUCACUUCUUAAUUU
Molecule: non-coding RNA, 107 nt
Organism: Capsicum annuum
Lineage: Eukaryota; Viridiplantae; Streptophyta; Magnoliopsida; Solanales; Solanaceae
Source: Rfam